UAGGGAAUUUUUGGCAAUGGGGGGAACCCUGACCGAGCAACGCCGCGUGAGUGAUGAAGGCCUUCGGGUCGUAAAGCUCUGUUGUAAGGAAAGAAAGACGGAUGUAGAACAUCCGCGUGACUAACUUACCAGAAAGCCACGGCUAACUACGUGCCAGCAGCCGCGGUAAUACGUAGGUGGCGAGCGUUAUCCGGAAUUAUUGGGCGUAAAGGGUGCGUAGGCGGCCUUUUAAGUUUAUGGUGAAAGCGUGGGGCUUAACCCCAUACAGCCAUAGAUACUGGGAGGCUAGAGUACUGGAGAGGGAAGUGGAAUUCCAUGUGUAGCGGUAAAAUGCGUAGAUAUAUGGAGGAACACCGGUGGCGAAGGCGGCUUUCUAGCCAGUAACUGACGCUGAAGCACG
Molecule: ribosomal RNA, 400 nt
Filed under: uncultured bacterium
Lineage: Bacteria
Description: bacterial SSU rRNA
Rfam family: Bacterial small subunit ribosomal RNA
Source: RNAcentral